This 71-nucleotide transfer RNA is filed under the name Raineyella antarctica. It matches the Rfam family "tRNA". Rfam says of the family: Transfer RNA (tRNA) molecules are approximately 80 nucleotides in length. The record is from Rfam by way of RNAcentral. RNAcentral also lists the same sequence under 3 other names. Lineage: Bacteria; Bacillati; Actinomycetota; Actinomycetes; Propionibacteriales; Propionibacteriaceae.
GCGGAUGUAGUUUAAUGGUAGAACAUCAGCUUCCCAAGCUGAGAACGCGGGUUCGAUUCCCGUCAUCCGCU